GAAUAAUUUGCCUCCCAUUCUGAAUCUACCAUCUUCACAGGAAAACACAUCUGCUUGUCAGAUUUGUGAGAAAAAAGGACAUCUGGCUAGAAAUUGCCCAGAUAGAGGUAAUUUGGCUGCUCAGGUAACUGGAAAUGAAGAAGAAACAGCAGCACAUUCGGUAACAGUUCAAGAUCUGGACUGGUGUCUUGACUCAGGAGCUACUAAUCACAUGGUAGCUGAUGAAGCUUUGCUCCAUGACUGCCAGACCUAUACAGGUAUUGGGUGUGUUGUGAUUGGAUCUGGAGAUAGAUUAGUAAUUGCUAAAAUAGGAAAAUUAGACUUUGAAGUACAUUCAAAGUUUUAUACACUUAAUAAAGUUUUAUGUGUACCUAAGAAUAAGAAAAAUCUAAUUUCUGUGACUAAACUAUGUAGUGAUUUGAAUUGUUAUAUACAGAUUUCACAGAAGGAAUUUUCAGUGAAGAGCCUGAAGAUGCAUCAGACGCUUUUUUCUGGAAUUAAUAAAAGAGGGCUAUAAUAUUUCAGCCCGGAUAUCAACUGUAAUUUGGGCAUCAAGGUCUC
RNAcentral lists this long non-coding RNA (561 nucleotides) under Zostera marina. Its description in RNAcentral is "long non-coding RNA (ZMAR_LNC003290)". The record is from RNAcentral. Lineage: Eukaryota; Viridiplantae; Streptophyta; Magnoliopsida; Alismatales; Zosteraceae.